This 497-nucleotide ribosomal RNA is filed under the name uncultured bacterium. RNAcentral describes it as "partial 16S ribosomal RNA". It matches the Rfam family "Bacterial small subunit ribosomal RNA", at positions 28 to 507 of the family's 1533-position model. The record is from RNAcentral.
GAUGAACGCUGGCGGCGUGCCUAAUACAUGCAAGUCGAGCGAACAGACGAGGAGCUUGCUCCUCUGAUGUUAGCGGCGGACGGGUGAGUAACACGUGGAUAACCUACCUAUAAGACUGGGAUAACUUCGGGAAACCGGAGCUAAUACCGGAUAAUAUUUUGAACCGCAUGGUUCAAUAGUGAAAGACGGUCUUGCUGUCACUUAUAGAUGGAUCCGCGCUGCAUUAGCUAGUUGGUAAGGUAACGGCUUACCAAGGCAACGAUGCAUAGCCGACCUGAGAGGGUGAUCGGCCACACUGGAACUGAGACACGGUCCAGACUCCUACGGGAGGCAGCAGUAGGGAAUCUUCCGCAAUGGGCGAAAGCCUGACGGAGCAACGCCGCGUGAGUGAUGAAGGUCUUCGGAUCGUAAAACUCUGUUAUUAGGGAAGAACAUAUGUGUAAGUAACUGUGCACAUCUUGACGGUACCUAAUCAGAAAGCCACGGCUAACUACGUG